RNAcentral lists this ribosomal RNA (300 nucleotides) under uncultured Lactobacillus sp. RNAcentral's name for it is "bacterial SSU rRNA". The stretch from base 52 to 300 matches the Rfam family "Bacterial small subunit ribosomal RNA", at positions 547 to 795 of the family's 1533-position model. The record is from RNAcentral. Lineage: Bacteria; Bacillati; Bacillota; Bacilli; Lactobacillales; Lactobacillaceae.
GGGAAAGAGGGGGGGGCGGCGGCACAAGGAAGUAGGGGGGAAAGGUUAUCGGGAAUUAUUGGGCGGAAAUCGCGCGUAGGCGGUGUUUGAAGUCUGAGGUGAAAGCCCACGGAUCAACCGGGGAGGGUCAUUGGAAACUGGAAAACUUGAGUGCAGAAGAGGAAAGUGGAAUUCCAUGUGUAGCGGUGAAAUGCGCAGAGAUAUGGAGGAACACCAGUGGCGAAGGCGACUUUCUGGUCUGCAACUGACGCUGAUGUGCGAAAGCGUGGGGAUCAAACAGGAUUAGAUACCCUGGUAGUC